Long non-coding RNA from Gracilinanus agilis (Agile Gracile Mouse Opossum), 683 nucleotides. RefSeq lists it as uncharacterized. The record is from RefSeq and is a predicted model, not a curated record. Lineage: Eukaryota; Metazoa; Chordata; Mammalia; Didelphimorphia; Didelphidae. The transcript has 4 exons.
ACCAAGCAGAGGCCAAGGAGAACUAGGAUCCACAGAAAGGACAGGAGAUGUUUAUUCUGGAGAAACGAACACUUUGGAAAGCCAUGACAGCAGCCUCCAAAUAUCUGAAGGGCCAUCAUGUGGAAAAGGGAAGAGACUUGCUUUUCUUGGCAUCACAGAGCAGAACUAGGACCAAUGGGUGGAAGCUUCAAAGAGGCAGAUUUAAGGUUGUUCAAAGACAAAUUUCCUAACCAUCGCAGCUGAAAUGGGCUACCUCUAAUGGUAGCUGGGUCCUCCAUCACCAAAGGCUGGUUGACCUCAGUUUUUUCUCCUAGUGAUCAAAGACUCUGAAGUUCUCUUAUAUAGAUCCAUAAAUAGACAAUUUUAGGAGCUAAUAUUUCACUCCUCCCUUGAACAUCCCAAGACAUAUCAAAUUGGUGAAGAGAUGAUCCAUCAAAAUGCUGAUUCAAGCAACCUCCUGAUAAGAAUAUUUUCUUCUCUGAGAAGUGGUGGAGUCCUAGGAAAGCCCUCCGUCUUGGCAGCAGGCCCUGGCUCAAGAACUCCUGACUUCUGAAACUUGUUCAUGAACCUCCAUCCUUAAGAAACACUGUACUAGUUCAGAAUGCCUGUCCUUAUUCCCUUUCAUGGAAUUGGGAAAGAAGCUGCUAUUCUUAGGAAGAUCAAUAAAGGAACUCUUGCCACUG